Molecule: non-coding RNA, 71 nt
Organism: Cerrena zonata
Lineage: Eukaryota; Fungi; Basidiomycota; Agaricomycetes; Polyporales; Cerrenaceae
Source: the annotation of a GenBank genome assembly
ACUUAGGUAGUUCAAUGGUAGAACAGAUGCCUCAUAUGCAUCAAGUGAAGGUUCAAUUCCUUCCUUAGGUA